AUAAUUCAUGGCUUGGUGGACAGAGUAAUGGAAAUGAAUGGGAUUCCCUUUGUUUCAUCUGGUGAUAUAUCGGGGUAUUAUAUUGAGCGGUCAGAUGAACCUGAGUUUCUUGCUGGAAGACAAGCUAGAAUCGUUUACAAGGGAAAGCAAAUUGGGAUUUUUGGCAUUGUUCAUCCCGAGGUAUUAAACAACUUCGACAUUCCAGAUCCUUGCUCCUUUGUAGAGCUUAACAUUGAAAGUUUGUUAUAAAAAUUAUUUGUUUCAAAUGUAUCCAUUUGCCCCUGGCACCAUUUAAUCAUUGUUCCUUCAAUCUGGGAAUCAAGAUCCUUCACUUCUUGAGCCGCAUACUUGUUCUUGGAAUUUAGGACUACACUAGCUGGGGAUAGGAG
Lotus japonicus is the source of this 389-nucleotide long non-coding RNA. RefSeq lists it as uncharacterized. The record is from RefSeq and is a predicted model, not a curated record. The transcript is spliced from 4 exons. Lineage: Eukaryota; Viridiplantae; Streptophyta; Magnoliopsida; Fabales; Fabaceae.